RNAcentral lists this ribosomal RNA (440 nucleotides) under uncultured bacterium. RNAcentral describes it as "partial 16S ribosomal RNA". It matches the Rfam family "Bacterial small subunit ribosomal RNA", at positions 338 to 795 of the family's 1533-position model. The record is from RNAcentral.
CCUACGGGAGGCAGCAGUGAGGAAUAUUGGUCAAUGGGCGCGAGCCUGAACCAGCCAAGUAGCGUGAAGGAUGACUGCCCUACGGGUUGUAAACUUCUAUCAGCAGGGAAGAAAAUGACGGUACCUGACUAAGAAGCCCCGGCUAACUACGUGCCAGCAGCCGCGGUAAUACGUAGGGGGCAAGCGUUAUCCGGAUUUAUUGGGUUUAAAGGGUGCGUAGGCGGGUUAUCAAGUCAGCGGUAAAAUCGUGGAGCUCAACUCCAUCCAGCCGUUGAAACUGAUGAUCUUGAGUGGGCGAGAAGUAUGCGGAAUGCGUGGUGUAGCGGUGAAAUGCAUAGAUAUCACGCAGAACUCCGAUUGCGAAGGCAGCAUACCGGCGCCCGACUGACGCUGAAGCACGAAAGCGUGGGUAUCGAACAGGAUUAGAUACCCUUGUAGUC